GCAUGACCCCCCAUUCAAAAUUUAUCCUGUCUCAACGCUGGAUCAAACCUUUCUACUCUGGAUCAGUGGCGAACGGGUGAGUACACGUGAGUAACCUGCCCCAGACUCUGGGAUAAGCACUGGAAACGGUGUCUAAUACCGGAUACGAGCUUCAGCCGCAUGGCUAGGAGCUGGAAAGAAUUUCGGUCUGGGAUGGACUCGCGGCCUAUCAGCUAGUUGGUGAGGUAAUGGCUCACCAAGGCGACGACGGGUAGCCGGCCUGAGAGGGUGACCGGCCACACUGGGACUGAGACACGGCCCAGACUCCUACGGGAGGCAGCAGUGGGGAAUAUUGCACAAUGGGCGCAAGCCUGAUGCAGCAACGCCGCGUGAGGGACGACGGCCUUCGGGUUGUAAACCUCUUUUAGUAGGGAAGAAGCGAAAGUGACGGUACCUGCAGGAAAAAGCACCGGCUAACUACGUGCCAGCAGCCGCGGUAAUACGUAGGGUGCAAGCGUUAUCCGGAAUUAUUGGGCGUAAAGAGCUCGUAGGCGGUUUGUCGCGUCUGCUGUGAAAACUGGAGGCUCAACCUCCAGCCUGCAGUGGGUACGGGCAGACUAGAGUGCGGUAGGGGAGAUUGGAAUUCCUGGUGUAGCGGUGGAAUUGCGCAGAUAUCAGGAGGAACACCGAUGGCGAAAGGCAGAUCUCUGGGCCGUAACUGACGCUGAGGAGCGAAAAGCAUUGGGAGCGAACAGGAUUAGGAUUACCCUGGUAGUCCAUGCCGUAACGUUGGGAACUAGAUGUAGGGACCAUUUCCACGGUUUCUGUGU
This 809-nucleotide ribosomal RNA is filed under the name uncultured bacterium. RNAcentral describes it as "bacterial SSU rRNA". It matches the Rfam family "Bacterial small subunit ribosomal RNA", at positions 64 to 846 of the family's 1533-position model. The record is from RNAcentral.